Molecule: ribosomal RNA, 377 nt
Filed under: uncultured eukaryote
Lineage: Eukaryota
Description: partial 18S ribosomal RNA
Rfam family: Eukaryotic small subunit ribosomal RNA
Source: RNAcentral
CAAUAGCGUAUAUUUAAGUUGCUGCAGUUAAGAAGCUCGUAGUUGGAUUUCGGGUGGGAAUGGCCGGUCCGCCGUUUCGGUGUGCACUUGCUACGCCCACCUUGCUGCCGGGGACGUGCUCUUGAGUUCACGCUCGGGACACGGAGUCGGCGAGGUUACUUUGAGUAAAUUAGAGUGUUCGAAACAGGCCUACGCUCUGAAUACAUUAGCAUGGAAUAACACGAUAGGACUCUGGCCUAUCUUGUUGGUCUGUAGGACCGGAGUAAUGAUUAAGAGGGACAGUCGGGGGCAUUCGUAUUUCAUUGUCAGAGGUGAAAUUCUUGGAUUUAUGAAAGACGAACUACCGCGAAAGCAUUUGCCAAGGAUGUUUUCAUUAA